Molecule: ribosomal RNA, 373 nt
Filed under: Geopelia cuneata (diamond dove)
Lineage: Eukaryota; Metazoa; Chordata; Aves; Columbiformes; Columbidae
Description: partial 12S ribosomal RNA
Rfam family: Bacterial small subunit ribosomal RNA
Source: RNAcentral
GCCUAGCCCUAAAUCUUGAUGCUUACCCCACUAAAGCAUCCGCCCGAGAACUACGAGCACAAACGCUUAAAACUCUAAGGACUUGGCGGUGCCCCAAACCCACCUAGAGGAGCCUGUUCUGUAAUCGACAACCCACGCUACACCCGACCACUCCUUGCAAAAACUACAGUCUACAUACCGCCGUCGCCAGCUCACCUCCACUGAGAGCAUAAUAGUGAACACAAUUGCCCUAACCCCGCUAAUACGACAGGUCAAGGUAUAGCCCACGGAGUGGAAGAAAUGGGCUACAUUUUCUAACUUAGAAAACCCCAAUAUAACGAAAGGGAGCAUGAAACAACUCCCAGAAGGCGGAUUUAGCAGUAAAGCAGGAUAA